CGCAAUGGGCGCAAGUCUGACGGAGCGACGCCGCGUGACCGAUGAAGUCUUUCGGGACGUAAAGGUCUUUUAUGAGGGAGAAAGUUUUGAUAGUACCUCAUGAAUAAGGGGUUGCUAAACUCGUGCCAGCAGCAGCGGUAAUACGAGUACCCCGAGCGUUAUCCGGAAUUAUUGGGCGUAAAGGGUGUGUAGGUGGUUGUGUUAGUCUUUUGUUAAAGCCUCCGGCUCAACCGGAGAAUUGCAGAGGAAACGGCAUAACUAGAGAGUGUGAGAGGUUUGCGGAACUCAUGGUGUAGGGGUGAAAUCCGUUGAUAUCAUGGGGAACACCAAAAGCGAAGGCAGCAAACUGGCACAUUUCUGACGCUGAAACACGAAAGCGU
RNAcentral lists this ribosomal RNA (380 nucleotides) under uncultured organism. RNAcentral's name for it is "bacterial SSU rRNA". It matches the Rfam family "Bacterial small subunit ribosomal RNA", at positions 367 to 762 of the family's 1533-position model. The record is from RNAcentral.